Molecule: Y RNA, 112 nt
Filed under: Microcebus murinus (gray mouse lemur)
Lineage: Eukaryota; Metazoa; Chordata; Mammalia; Primates; Cheirogaleidae
Description: Y RNA (ENSMICG00000045435.1)
Rfam family: Y RNA
About the family: Y RNAs are components of the Ro ribonucleoprotein particle (Ro RNP), in association with Ro60 and La proteins. The Y RNAs and Ro60 and La proteins are well conserved, but the function of the Ro RNP is not known.
Source: Rfam by way of RNAcentral
GGCUGAUCAGAAGGUAGUGAAUUGUCUCAGUUGACUGUUCACAGUCACUUACAGGUUGAACCCCUUGUUCUGCCACUUUCCCCUCCUCACUACUGCACUUCGGUAGUCUUAA